GCUUAUCUGUUUUGAACUAGCUUAAUACUGUAUUUUUUUCACAUUCAAUCUCAAACAAAUAUUUUAUUACAAAUUUCGCCCUCAUUUAUAUAACAAAAAAGGUAAUAUUUGAAAGUGAACAAUUUUAAAAUUCGAGGUGUUACAUCCACAUAUGUUUUCUUUAAGAUUCCAACAACAUUUUUUUUAUGUUUAUGAUUAUGCAUAUUUAAUCAAAUAAAAAAUAAAUACAUAUUGCAUUCAGGAUACAAAUUUUUAGCAUUAAUUUAUAGCUAUCUAAAAAAAAACAAAUUUAAAGGAAAUUAGUUGAUAGUGUUUUAAUGUGUUGUCUCUCUUGUGCAAAUAAAUUUGUUUUGGUUUAAAAUGUCAUUCAAUGCUAAAUUUUACAAACCUGCAAAAACAUUGCUAUUUUCAAUAAAAUUACAAAAUCUUUUCAAUGUAAUAUAAUAUGUACAUCAAAAUUAUGAUCCACUUUGUUUCCUUAGAUUUCCAAUUAUGAUCUAAUGAAUGAAACACUAAUGCAGGAGAAAAGUUGCUGUAUGUCUGCAGAGAAUUAAUUCUUUUAUUUAAAUUCAGCAUUUAAAAAAUUACAAAACCUUAAGAAUUUCUUUUUUUUCUGUUCUGUCUUUGUUAUAGACUACUUAAAUGAAAUCCUUGAAUUUGCAUUCCUUACUUCAUAGAAAACUGAAGAUUUUUGUGAUGGAACUAAAAAAAAAAUGCGGUUUAUGUAGAAAAGUAGGAAAAUGUUUAAAUAACUCUAAAAAAACAACUCAGUUAUAUUGCAUCUAUUUUCUUAUGAUAAAACGAAUAUAGGACUUUACAUUGAUCAUCUACUUUGUUGAAAUAUAUCUAGAUGUUGAUGAUUAUAAAAAAGAUUAUUGUUUUUUGCAUCUACUUUAAUUAAUGAUAUAUGAAGGUGCUGUG
RNAcentral lists this long non-coding RNA (921 nucleotides) under Mytilus galloprovincialis (Mediterranean mussel). The record is from RNAcentral. Lineage: Eukaryota; Metazoa; Mollusca; Bivalvia; Mytilida; Mytilidae.